AAACCAACAGGGAUUGCCUCAGUAGCGGCGAGUGAAGCGGCAAGAGCUCAGAUUUGAAAUCUCACCUAGUGUGCGAGUUGUAAAUUGCAGGUUGGAGUCUCGGGUUAGACGUGUGUGCAAGUCCCUUGGAACAGGGUGCCACUGAGGGUGAGAGCCCCGUANCGUGCAUGUCGACACCUGUGAGGCCCUUCUGACGAGUCGAGUUGUUUGGGAAUGCAGCUCUAAGUGGGUGGUAAAUUCCAUCUAAGGCUAAAUAUUGGCGAGAGACCGAUAGCGAACAAGUACUGUGAAGGAAAGAUGAAAAGCACUUUGAAAAGAGAGUGAAACAGCACGUGAAAUUGUUGAAAGGGAAGGGUAUUGGGCUCGACAUGGGAUUUACGCAUCGUUGCCUCUCGUGGGCGGCGCUCUGGGUUUUUCCUGGGCCAGCAUCGGUUUUCGUUGCAGGAUAAGGAC
This 453-nucleotide ribosomal RNA is filed under the name Pichia kluyveri. RNAcentral's name for it is "partial 28S ribosomal RNA". It matches the Rfam family "Eukaryotic large subunit ribosomal RNA", at positions 62 to 526 of the family's 3401-position model. Lineage: Eukaryota; Fungi; Ascomycota; Pichiomycetes; Pichiales; Pichiaceae. The record is from RNAcentral.